GGAGAGGUGGCCGAGCGGUCGAAGGCGGCGGUCUUGAAAACCGCAGAGCGCGCGAGCGCUCCGGGGGUUCGAAUCCCCCCCUCUCCG
Molecule: transfer RNA, 87 nt
Filed under: Deltaproteobacteria bacterium
Lineage: Bacteria; Pseudomonadati; Myxococcota; Myxococcia
Description: tRNA-Ser
Rfam family: tRNA
About the family: Transfer RNA (tRNA) molecules are approximately 80 nucleotides in length.
Source: RNAcentral